RNAcentral lists this unclassified non-coding RNA (157 nucleotides) under uncultured Helotiales. RNAcentral describes it as "sequence contains ITS1". Lineage: Eukaryota; Fungi; Ascomycota; Leotiomycetes; Helotiales. The record is from RNAcentral.
CAGAGUUCAUGCCCUCACGGGUAGGUCUCCCACCCUUGAAUACUAUACCUUUGUUGCUUUGGUGGGCCGCCUCGGCUACUGGCUUCGGCUGGUAAGUGCCCGCCAGAGGACCCCAAACUCUGAAUGUUAGUGUCGUCUGAGUACUAUAUAAUAGUUA